This 29-nucleotide small RNA is filed under the name Bombyx mori (domestic silkworm). Its description in RNAcentral is "piRNA piR-bmo-2058203". Lineage: Eukaryota; Metazoa; Arthropoda; Insecta; Lepidoptera; Bombycidae. The record is from RNAcentral.
UGAUAUGAAUAUGCUUCUUGAAUCCAGGC